Molecule: ribosomal RNA, 710 nt
Filed under: uncultured archaeon
Lineage: Archaea
Description: bacterial SSU rRNA
Rfam family: Archaeal small subunit ribosomal RNA
Source: RNAcentral
AGUCAUUGUAGCAAUACAAGGCAGACGGCUCAUUAACGCGUAGUCAACCUACCCUAUGGACGGGAAUAACCUCGGGAAACUGAGUAUAAUGCCCGAUAGAACACUAUACCUGGAAUGGUUUGUGUUUCAAACGAUUUAUUGCCGUAGGAUGGGACUGCGGCCUAUCAGUUUGUUGGUGAGGUAAUGGCCCACCAAGACUAUUACAGGUACGGGCUCUGAGAGGAGUGGCCCGGAGAUGGGUACUGAGACACGGACCCAGGCCCUAUGGGGCGCAGCAGGCGAGAAAACUUUGCAAUGUGCGAAAGCACGACAAGGUUAAUCCGAGUGGUUUCUGCUAAAGGAACCUUUUGACAGUCCUAGAAACACUGUUGAAUAAGGGGUGGGCAAGUUCUGGUGUCAGCCGCCGCGGUAAAACCAGCACCUCAAGUGGUCAGGAUGAUUAUUGGGCCUAAAGCAUCCGUAGCCGGCUCAGUAAGUUUUCGGUUAAAUCUGUACGCUUAACGUACAGGCUGCCGGGAAUACUGCAGAGCUAGGGAGUGGGAGAGGUAGACGGUACUCGGGAGGAAGUGGUAAAAUGCUUUGAUCUUUCGAUGACCACCUGUGGCGAAGGCGGUCUACCAGAACACGUCCGACGGUGAGGGAUGAAAGCUGGGGGAGCAAACCGGAUUAUAUACCCGGGUAGUCCCAGCUGUAAACUAUGCAAACUCAUU